UCCCCAAUUUCCAGUCAUUGCAAUUCAACUAACUUGAAGAAAGUAAAAUUGAAUUGAGGUUUAGAUAAACAUGCAUCAUAGAUCUUCCACAAUUUCCCCAAUUUCCAACGCUUUUCCCCAAUUUCCAGUCAUUGCAAUUCAAGUAACUUGAAGAAAGUAAAAUUGAAUUGAGGUUUAGUGAAUGUUGAUAAGUCUCUAUCCCCACCCCCAUUUACAAGAUGCAGACACCAAAUUUACAUCAAUUCUCAGCCUCAUUAUCUCUCAAUCCAUAAACAAAGAAUCUUAAUCCACCCAGAUCAGUAACACUCCACGAAGAAAAAAUCACUCGUGUUGUCGCCUUCACCACUCGCGCCGCCGCCUCACGCCGCCCUCGUCGCCAUCGCUUCUUCCUCUAAUUCGCCAGUCAACUGCAGUAUUAACUCGUCGCCGCUGCCUCUGGUGAGGUGAGGUCGGCCAUGGAAGUGCAGAUAAAUUCGUAGAACUUACCAUUCGCCGACUUCCACCUAUCGCCUCCGCCUUCCCCUUUCCUCCUCCACUUUGCUCGCCUCCACCCUCUCUUUUCCUUCUCAUAAAUUAGGGCUCGUUGCUUAACAGAGCAGGGGGAGGGAGAGAGAGAGAGCCGGACUGCGGCUAUCAAUCCAUAAACAAAGAAUCUUAGGGUUUCAGGCGGCGGCGAUAGGGUUUCAGGGGGAGGGAGAGAGAGUCGAACGGAAAUUAGGGCCACUCCAGUUCGCUCGCCUCCGGAUCUGCAGCGUCUCCUCCACUUCCAUCGGAUCUGCGGCGCGGAGGUCGGCAUUUAUCCAUAUCUGUGCCUCAUAACACAUUUAAUCUAGAUCUCUUAGGUGGUGGCGCGGAGGUCGGCAUCGGAGAGUGUGGCGGAUUUCCGGUGCCGAGAGAGAGAUGGUGUCGGAGGAAGGGAGAGGUGGCAACGGCGCCGGUAAUGAGAGAGAGAGAGUGACGUGAAUUGGCUGGAGAAUUGAAUUGAGAGAGAGUGAGAGUGUGAGGAGAGAGGGAUAAAAGUGAGUGGCCAUUUUUUAAUAUUUUAAAGUGAAGGGUAUUUUUGACUUUUUGUUUAAAAACUGGUCAUUUUUUAUUAUUUUUAUUUGAUAGGCUAGAUUUUAAUUUUACAAUAUGAAAGUGGAUAGUUUUAUAUAUUAGCUCUUUUUUCUUUAUCUUCUUUACAAUUUUCUUCAUACUUAUAUAGCCUUGCUUUUUGUUUUGGCACUAUUCUAAGUUAUUAAAAUUGUAAAUUGAAUACAUGCAUGGUCAAAUUUUCCAACGGCCAUCAUU
This 1290-nucleotide long non-coding RNA is filed under the name Salvia miltiorrhiza (redroot sage). Its description in RNAcentral is "long non-coding RNA (SMIL_LNC000731)". The record is from RNAcentral. Lineage: Eukaryota; Viridiplantae; Streptophyta; Magnoliopsida; Lamiales; Lamiaceae.